RNAcentral lists this long non-coding RNA (1188 nucleotides) under Capsicum annuum. Its description in RNAcentral is "long non-coding RNA (CANN_LNC004179)". The record is from RNAcentral. Lineage: Eukaryota; Viridiplantae; Streptophyta; Magnoliopsida; Solanales; Solanaceae.
AUGUGUUGACAUAGUGAAUCCGUAUGGGGCCCCUUCGAUUCACUAUAGUCCUCAUAAUCUUGUAUUCUCUAUCUACUUCGUUGAAUAUUGUUGUUGUUGUCUUGGAAACAUAGAGAAGCCGAGUGGGGCCUUUGAUUUUUUAUUGUUGUUAAUCUUGUAGAUCUCUUGACUUCGUGUUGAGUGUUCGAUCUUGUAUCAUUUGGUAUCAAAGCAUGGCUUGAUCUUGUUCCUACAAGAUCAAAUCUUGAGUUUGCUUGUUAGAAAAAUAAAAAAAAAGUGUUCUUGUUCUUGGCCGAAUCUAGAAUUCGUUGUUGUCUUGGCCGAAAACUUAUUUGUGUGUCUAGAUCUAGUAGAUUUUUUUUUGUCUAGUGUGUUUCUUGUGUUGGUUUCUUUCUCACUAACACAAAAGAUGUCUAGAUCUAAAGUUGAGCUUAUAAUAUUGACUAAUGUUGUGGUGACUUGAAGAUGGUAGUAUGUUGUGCCUUGUUAUUGACAAUUGGUGGUGUUGUGUUGUGUUCUUGAAGAAGUUGUUAUUGUGUUCUUGAAGAUUGUUGUGGUGUUCAUCUUGUUCUUCAUCUAUUCUUACAACUUAAGACAACAAAAAGUGUAAAAAAAUCCAAAAAGUUGUAAGACAAAAGUUAUAAAGUUGUUUGUGAGAAGACUUGCACACAUCACUUCUUAGACUUGACAUCAACUUUUCCAACUACAAUCCUUAAAUCAAGGAGCCUUGUUUGGUGGAACUAGUACAAGUCAAGAUCAUCUUUUGAUAUUAAAUUUACAAAGGACUCAAAGUCUUGUAUUUUUCCCUCCAAAACCAAUCGUUCUCCAAUUCUAAAUUAUGUGAAAGUUGAAGAUUCAAAUUUUUGAUUAAAUUAUGUGGGCCCGAGACAAAUUGCUUGCUGCACAUUACCACUUGCUACUUUUUACGACAGUAUUGAGCUCAAAUUUGGAUUUUUUAGUUUCUAAUUGUUGAUUCUUGGUUUCAUUAACAAACUAGUGAGUUCCUACUAGAUUGUCAAUUAGCCCUUUGAAUCCAUUGUUCGUGUCUACGUUUCUUUUGUGCUUUUAUCAUUUUUAUAAUUGUAGUGCUUCUUGGUUCAAGUUCGAACAUUACUUACUUGAGUCGUACAACAGGUAAUCCAUUCUGACUAAGGAGUAGACUUACUCUUCAACUCACCAUAACUACAA